GCCUACGGGGGGCAGCAGUAGGGAAUCUUCCACAAUGGGCGAAAGCCUGAUGGAGCAACGCCGCGUGGGUGAAGAAGGUCUUCGGAUCGUAAAACCCUGUUGUUAGAGAAGAAAGUGCGUGAGAGUAACUGUUCACGUUUCGACGGUAUCUAACCAGAAAGCCACGGCUAACUACGUGCCAGCAGCCGCGGUAAUACGUAGGUGGCAAGCGUUAUCCGGAUUUAUUGGGCGUAAAGGGAACGCAGGCGGUCUUUUAAGUCUGAUGUGAAAGCCCUCGGCUUAACCGGAGGAGUGCAUUGGAAACU
This 305-nucleotide ribosomal RNA is filed under the name uncultured bacterium. RNAcentral describes it as "bacterial SSU rRNA". It matches the Rfam family "Bacterial small subunit ribosomal RNA", at positions 337 to 634 of the family's 1533-position model. The record is from RNAcentral.